RNAcentral lists this ribosomal RNA (251 nucleotides) under uncultured bacterium. RNAcentral describes it as "partial 16S ribosomal RNA". It matches the Rfam family "Bacterial small subunit ribosomal RNA", at positions 338 to 603 of the family's 1533-position model. The record is from RNAcentral.
CCUACGGGGGGCAGCAGUGGGGAAUAUUGGGCAAUGGGCGCAAGCCUGACCCAGCAACGCCGCGUGAAGGAAGAAGGCUCUCGGGUUGUAAACUUCUUUUCUCAGGGACGAAGCAAGCGACGGUACCUGAUGAAUAAGCCACGGCUAACUACGUGCCAGCAGCCGCGGUAAUACGUAGGUGGCAAGCGUUAUCUGGAUUUACUGGGUGUAAAGGGCGUGUAGGCGGGAAAGAAAGUCCGAUGUGACAACCA